GAGUUUUGAUCAUGGCUCAGGAUGAACGCUAGCUACAGGCUUAACACAUGCAAGUCGAGGGGAAACGACAUCGAAAGCUUUGCUUUUGAUGGGCGUCGACCGGCGCACGGGUGAGUAACGCGUAUCCAACCUGCCCACCACUUGGGGAUAACCUUGCGAAAGUAAGACUAAUACCCAAUGAUAUCUCUAGAAGACAUCUGAAAGAAGAUUAAAGAUUUAUCGGUGAUGGAUGGGGAUGCGUCUGAUUAGCUUGUUGGCGGGGUAACGGCCCACCAAGGCAACAAUCAGUAGGGGUUCUGAGAGGAAGGUCCCCCACAUUGGAACUGAGACACGGUCCAAACUCCUACGGGAGGCAGCA
RNAcentral lists this ribosomal RNA (358 nucleotides) under uncultured bacterium. RNAcentral's name for it is "bacterial SSU rRNA". It matches the Rfam family "Bacterial small subunit ribosomal RNA", at positions 9 to 353 of the family's 1533-position model. The record is from RNAcentral.